Molecule: long non-coding RNA, 2428 nt
Organism: Equus caballus (horse)
Lineage: Eukaryota; Metazoa; Chordata; Mammalia; Perissodactyla; Equidae
Source: Ensembl
GUUUUCACAAGACAUGUGCAGAAGUAUGAAGUAAGUAGUUUAUAUUUUAUUAUAAUCUAUUUCAUUUCUUUAAGGUCUCCACCUAACCUGAACUCCUUAAAGCCACUGGCUCUUAUUCAUCUGAAUGAUUGCUAUUAUGAAAAGGAAAUUAACACAAUAUGUUGGUGGAAGCAGCUGCCAAAGGUCAUCUGACAUAAUAGCUGAUGAAUUCAAGCCCAGUGGAUUUCAUUUGCAAUUUUCAAUUUACUGAGGCCUCCAAACCCCACGGUGAUAAAAGCUUCCCCUAUCGUGGCCUGUCACAAACAUCAAGAAACUGCACAAACCCACAAGAAAGAAAAAAGAGAAAGCUGUGCAUCCUCGCAGGUACAGAUAAGGAGAACAGGAAGAAAUGGUAUCACGCAGGAAGGUAUGGAGCAGCUUGUGUGGCUAGUUCUCCAAAUGCCAGUUGAAAGGAAAAGACUAUGAAGAACAAUCAAAUAACUUCCACAGAAUAACGUCAUGUUUCUUUGGGGCUUUUGUGUGAAAAUUGCGUUCUAAUCUCUUAUUUGACAUGCCCCUAAACAAAAAUAUGAGUGUAAAUAUGCAAAUAAACAAAUGAAUAAAUAAUCUUUGCUUAUUUGAUCAUUGGAAAGAAAGCACACUCUGUGUGUUGUAUUUAGCAUAGUUUUGAUUUACAAAAUGCGUGCUCCUAAAGGAUCUUUUAUCAUGGAAGUGUCAGUCAGCACUAAGAAAUCAUUUGUUUUCUCGUAGAGAAAUGGUAGAUCCUUUGAUUGAUUUGCAAGGGCAGUCAAAGGACUGACAUAGCAACUACUUGUAAGUGGAUCUAGACACAGUGUAUAUUGAAGAUGUAUUAGCAAGGGAAGAAAGCCAUUUUCCCCUCCUGUCAAGCUAUUUACAGUGAACUUUGGCAGGAUCUGGGACUGAAUCUUGCUCCCAGCAAUUGUUCAAAUUGAGGAGACUAUAUGCGUGUUCCUUGCAGAAUGGUAAGUUUAAAAGUUGAGCAGCUCAUCUUCAUCCUAUCCUACACAACUCAUACGAUAGCUUACAAAGAGAAAGCAAAGAGAUGACCACUGUUUGAGGUACAACUGCUUGGAGAAUUCCAUUUCAGACAUGGAUGUCUGGAUCCCAUUUCUACCAAAUAGAUUCAGAAAGGCUUAUGAAAUUGGUCUAAUGAGGCAAGAGAACUUGGCAGAGGGCAUCUAACAACAUGCCUCAUGACGAAAUUUCUCAUGCCAGUUGACAAGAAAACCCAAGAAUGACAUCAACAAGACCAGGAUAUUAACUCCAUUUGUGUAUUGGUAACUGUGAGACACGCACAGGUUGGAAAGGAAAAGAGACUAAUUCCUGGUUGAACUGAUGUGAUUGUGAGAGGCUGCCUACUGUAGAAUGAUAACUUAAACUGUCACAGCAAAAAGCAAAAAUGUGGGCUAUUCAUCAUAAUUGAAUCCUUGGUUCUUUGAAAUUAAACUAUUUCUUAAGAUUUUCUAUUAGCAAAAAAUUUAAUGAUCUUUCAAUUCUUCAAAGUUUUAAAAUAGAAACUGUUUCCUCAAGUAGCUAAAAUGGCAGGAAUUAACAUUUUGAAAUAAGGCAUAAAAAAGUUUAUUCUAAGAUGCAGAAAAUACAGAAGGUAGCCAUAUUUUAGCAUUUUAUUGUUUUUUCUCCUACACAAAAUUGUCAGGAUGUCACUUUUCAAAAGUUGCUUCCUCUUUUCCCCCUUUUGUAGUUUCUAUAGGUUCAAAGAGAACUCUCUCCAUAAUUUGCAGUUUCUAUGGGUUCUCUUUGGAUUGUUAGCAUAAUACAGAGACCCUGGUGAUGGUAAAAGAUUGCUUAAUGGAGUCUUAAUUUAAUCAGUCCUCUAAAAAAAUACGUAUAACUUGGUGAGGGUUUUUCAUUAUCUCUGUUCUUCAAUGGCAGUGAUACAAGGCAAGCUGUACCAAUGGGUCUGUAGUUACAUAGCAGAAAGGUUAAUCUCUUUUAUGUUCCUUCUAUUAGAAAGGCAGUUCUCGAAUCUUCAGGGCAGAGUCCUAAAUUGGUCUUGUAGACUGGUUCACAGAGACUGUUCCCUCUUAUGCCCUACGGCUAAUUACAAUCAGUCAGGCCAGAGCAUUCACUGUCGUUUGAAUGAUGCGAUAGACUAUUUCCCGUUUCAUUAAUUAAUUUUUUUCAUCCCUUCACUUAGUAUUUAUUUAGUAUCUACUAAAUGCAGGACAACUAUGAAUGAGACUUUCCUUACUUUCAAGCAGUUUACAGAAGAGUGAAAUACAGAAUGUUUUACAUCUGCUCUCCCCACCUCCCAGAAUUGUUUUUCAUAUAGCCAUAAAAAGUUUAAAAUAAUGAAAAGUGUAUCUUGAGAAUUUGAGCAAUGGAGUGACACCAUUGACAUCUGGAUAUCUUAUUUCGGGUGAAAGCUGUGUUUCCCAUUUUUUUU